Molecule: long non-coding RNA, 1953 nt
Organism: Lagopus muta (rock ptarmigan)
Lineage: Eukaryota; Metazoa; Chordata; Aves; Galliformes; Phasianidae
Exons: 5
Source: RefSeq, a predicted model, not a curated record
AGGUAUGGGACCAUUCUACUGGACUGUUAAUGUAUCAGUCAGGGAUAUUAACAGCUUUGGAUCUUCAGUUUAAGCAGUGAUCAUAGUUACCGUUGUGUGGCACAUACGGACUUAAAGAAAGAGCAAGAGAAAUUCUAUAAUAAAAUCUGGAAAUCUGAAGAAGAAUUAGGUGAAAGGCAAAAUGCUUCUGAGCUUUGCAAAACAAACAGCAUGAAACCAGAGGGGUCAGUGGAAGCAUCAUUGCCUGUUCUCCUAAUUGAACACUGUGACUAUUCAGUAUGUUUCCACAAUGAAGAAAAUAUGGAAAAGAGAUGUUCCAGCGGGCUGUAGGCUUUGCACAGUUUUAUUUUAUGGAUACAUUUAUAUUGCUGUGCUGUGGAGCUGAAUUUCAUCUAUGAAGUUUCCAUCUAGAUGCGGCGAAGGAUGACCUAAAACGAACAUUAUUUGUGAUUACUGAAGUCAGUGAUAAUCAUCUGAAAAUACAGAUGUCUUUGGAAAAUGUUAAAACGAUCAUCUGUGGAAUGGCAAACGUGUGAUGAGAAAUCCUUCUCCUCAAGGUACGCUUACUGGAGAUCAUGAAUGGGAAAACUCGUGGAUCCUGCCAUACACUGUUGUAGCUGACUUGUAGCUUCCUGCUCUGUAGAAAUUCAUCUUUCAUUCAUUGACCUGUGGGUUUGCCUGUUUUAAUGGCAAGAAAACGCUGAGAUUUAGUGCUUAUCAGAGAUAUUUAGUGUGUUAGAUUUCCAGUGGCAGGAGCCCAGGUCUCUGAGAGUGUGGGUUUGUGGAGUUUGCAGAGUCACAGUCUCAUUGCUAUUAAUGAGCUCCCUGGACUCUUUCAGGUACGAAUUCUUGCACUGUGUCAUUAAGUAGAAGGAAGAUGUUUUUUCAGGCAGUGAAGCUUUGAGGUCUCAUUUUAUUUUAUGUUUUUUGACUGCCAACAGCUAUACUUCAUUAUACGUGGAAAGCACAUUUGGCUGCUUCUUUUCUUCAAGGUUCUUGUUAGAAAUUACACCCAGCAGUUGCUUCCAAAAGCAUUUUUGACUCAGUGGAAUCUCCCUGGGCCUUCUGCUUCUUCACUGCAGUGACAAUAUGAUACCACGGGAGUGAUUUUUCAUGAAAUUACAUUUUCAUGACUUCGGUCAGGAAGGUUCAGUUCUGCAGUUCAUGUUAUAAAGUUACACCAUAUCUCAGAUUAAACUUUGUCACAUCAAUACUUUUUUUUAUAUAUACUUCUACUUUUUUUCAGACAGUUUAUUUCAGAGAUAGGGACAUCCUGAAUUUUUUCAUCACCGUGUGCUUUCACUUCACUAAAUUUUGGAAUACACACUUAUUACUUACCGUGUCUAAAAAACAUCAAUAAAAAAAGAGACUUUAAUGAUUUAACUUACCCAAAGAACUAACGUUAUAUUUAGUAGAGGCAGUGCGGAGUUCAAGUUGAUCAACAUGUCCGUGAAUUUAAUCUGCUUUUAAAAUUACACUGGUGCUGUUUUUAACAUGAAUUUUGUAUUUAGAUGGACUUACCACAUCCCAGCAAACAUGUUUCUAAGGUCAUAUAAAAAGGACACUGUCUAAUCUCUGAUUAUUGUCUUCAUUUAUAAUUGUUCACCCAGAAACAAUUUAAAAUCCAGUUCUAUUUAGAACGCCUCUUGUGACUGUGAUAACUGCCAGUGAUGUAGUGGCAUCUUUGCUUUUGCAGUCAUUUCUCUUGGACAGCUAACCUGAGAGAACAUUGAUUGUUUUAAUGAAUAACCAUUUUAAUAGAAUAAAAAAAAUAUUUUAAACUAUGAUGGCAAUUUGAACGGUAUGAAUAAUCUCUCUGAAGAAGUCAGUGCACUUGCAAUUGCUUUCAACCAUGUCUAGCUCUGUUGGGUAAAUUUUUUCUGAUAUAAUGACUUCAUUAUGUCAUUUUGUCCCUCUAUGAUCAGUAAUUAGCAACUGCUUUAAAAAAAAGUC